CGAGAAUUUUUCACAAUGGGGGAAACCCUGAUGGAGCGACGCCGCGUGGGGGAUGAAUGGCUUCGGCCCGUAAACCCCUGUCAUUCGCGAACAAUGCUCACGGUAUAACACAUCGUGAGUUGAUAGUAGCGGAAGAGGAAGGGACGGCUAACUCUGUGCCAGCAGCCGCGGUAAUACAGAGGUCCCAAGCGUUGUUCGGAUUUACUGGGCGUAAAGGGUGCGUAGGCGGUCGGGUAAGUCUGAUGUGAAAUCUCCGAGCUUAACUCGGAAAAUGCAUUGGAUACUAUUCGGCUGGAGAGUUGGAGGGGGGACUGGAAUACUUGGUGUAGCAGUGAAAUGCGUAGAUAUCAAGUGGAACACCAGUGGCGAAGGCGAGUCCCUGGACAACUUCUGACGCUGAGGCACGAAAGCUAGGGGAGCAAA
This 423-nucleotide ribosomal RNA is filed under the name uncultured bacterium. RNAcentral's name for it is "bacterial SSU rRNA". It matches the Rfam family "Bacterial small subunit ribosomal RNA", at positions 356 to 772 of the family's 1533-position model. The record is from RNAcentral.